This 344-nucleotide ribosomal RNA is filed under the name uncultured bacterium. RNAcentral's name for it is "bacterial SSU rRNA". It matches the Rfam family "Bacterial small subunit ribosomal RNA", at positions 73 to 414 of the family's 1533-position model. The record is from RNAcentral.
ACAGUCUUCGGACUGUUGCGGAGCGGCGAACGGGUGAGUAACACGUGAAUAACCUGCCCAUAUGUUCCGGAUAAUUGGUCGAAAGACCCUUGUAAUACGGGGGAGGAUCAGUCUUUGGCAUCUUAGACUGAGGGAAGUCGCAAGACGCAUAUGGAGGGGUUCGCGGAUUAUCAGGUAGUUGGUGGGGUAAAGGCUCACCAAGCUCACGACGAUUAGCUGGUCUGAGAGGAUGGUCAGCCACAUUGGAACUGAGACACUGUCUAGACUUUACGGGAGGCUGCAGUCGAGAAUCUUGGUCUAAUGCACGAAAGUGUGAACCAGCGACGCCGCGUGAAGGAUGAAGG